AUACGGAGGGUGCAAGCGUUAUUCGGAAUCACUGGGCGUAAAGGACGCGUAGGCGGGUUGGCAAGUCAGAUGUGAAAUCCUACAGCUUAACUGUAGAACUGCAUUUGAAACUGCUAACCUAGAGUAUGGGAGGGGGAGAUGGAAUUAGUGGUGUAGGGGUAAAAUCCGUAGAUAUCACUAGGAAUACCGAAAGCGAAGGCGAUCUCCUGGAACAUAACUGACGCUAAGGCGUGCAAGCGUGGGGAGCAAACAGGAUUAGAUACCCUAGUAGUCC
This 274-nucleotide ribosomal RNA is filed under the name uncultured bacterium. RNAcentral's name for it is "partial 16S ribosomal RNA". It matches the Rfam family "Bacterial small subunit ribosomal RNA", at positions 523 to 796 of the family's 1533-position model. The record is from RNAcentral.